Long non-coding RNA from Corapipo altera (White-ruffed manakin), 619 nucleotides. RefSeq lists it as uncharacterized. The record is from RefSeq and is a predicted model, not a curated record. NCBI's taxonomy places the organism in Eukaryota, Metazoa, Chordata, Aves, Passeriformes, Pipridae. The transcript is spliced from 4 exons.
AUGGCAAAGACUGGGUGCUACAGUCCCAGCCUGAUGAGGGAGAACAGGAACUUCUGUUCUUUGUGGCAAACCUGCUGUUACUCCUUGUGCAGUCUUUUCUUUCCGUUGUAUGUGUUACUGUCCAGAAUCUCUCCGAGGCAAGCUGUUAGAAAUUUAGAGGUAGGACUGGAAUUUGGGUCUGUUCCCUACAAACUCCUGCAAAGCCUGAAGGACCGGGCUGAUGACUGCUCUUAACAAAGUUUGGCAGGGCUGGGACAAGGAGGACUCGUGCGGGCGCCUCCAGAGACAGCGGGAACGGGAGCGUGCUGCAGAGAAGGAAAGUUCCAGGUGAAUUGCCACGAGAGGAAAUACUUCCGAGGGACUUCCCUCCGGAUAAGCCCUGAAUAUGCCGGGAGGUUUCAGCCGGGAGAAAGGAGCUGUGGAAGAAAAGCAGCCUCAGAAUAGCCAGUGGGGAUCAUCAGGUUUGCCAGCCGAGAAAAACAAGGAGGGAGAGGAGGGAAUGGGGUUCCAAUUCCUAAGGAUUUGGAAGUGGGCUGGGACAGGGGAAUUGGCUCCCCCGAGGCCGAGGAUCAGAGCGGGCUCUGCACAGGGGACGACUUCCACUUCCGAACGGGGAAGG